GUGCUCACUUCAGCAGCACAUUUACCCAAAUUGGAAUUAUACAGAGAAGAUUAGCAUGGCCCCUGCACAACAAGAAUGACAUGCAAAUUCUUGAAGCAUUCCAUAUUUUU
Molecule: small nuclear RNA, 110 nt
Organism: Vulpes vulpes (red fox)
Lineage: Eukaryota; Metazoa; Chordata; Mammalia; Carnivora; Canidae
Source: Ensembl